Molecule: ribosomal RNA, 291 nt
Filed under: uncultured Rhizophagus
Lineage: Eukaryota; Fungi; Glomeromycota; Glomeromycetes; Glomerales; Glomeraceae
Description: partial 18S ribosomal RNA
Rfam family: Eukaryotic small subunit ribosomal RNA
Source: RNAcentral
UGGGUAAUCUUUUGAAACUUCAUCGUGCUGGGGAUAGAGCAUUGCAAUUAUUGCUCUUGAACGAGGAAUCCCUAGUAAGCACAAGUCAUUAGCUUGUGCUGAUUACGUCCCUGCCCUUUGUACACACCGCCCGUCGCUACUACCGAAUGAAUGGCUUAGUGAGGCCCUCGAAUUGAGGUUCGGAGACUGGCAACAGUUUCUGUUCUUUGAGAAGUUGGUCAAACUUGGUCAUUUAGAGGAAGUAAAAGUCGUAACAAGGUUUCCGUAGGUGAACCUGCGGAAGGAUCAUUA